RNAcentral lists this microRNA precursor (59 nucleotides) under Heligmosomoides polygyrus. RNAcentral describes it as "microRNA hpo-mir-63a precursor". Its record names the gene hpo-mir-63a. Lineage: Eukaryota; Metazoa; Nematoda; Chromadorea; Rhabditida; Heligmosomidae. The record is from miRBase by way of RNAcentral.
UCCGGUUCGACGGGAGUCAUCGUCCUUGUCGGCACUAUGACACUGUUGCGAACUGGGAU